UACGGGGGGAGCAAGCGUUGUUCGGAUUUACUGGGCGUAAAGGGCGCGUAGGCGGUCAGCACAAGUCAGUUGUGAAAUCUCCGGGCUUAACCCGGAAAGGUCAACUGAUACUGUGCGACUAGAGUGCGGAAGGGGCAACUGGAAUUCUCGGUGUAGCGGUGAAAUGCGUAGAUAUCGAGAGGAACACCUGCGGCGAAGGCGGGUUGCUGGGCCGACACUGACGCUGAUGCGCGAAAGCGUGGGGAGCGAACAGG
RNAcentral lists this ribosomal RNA (254 nucleotides) under uncultured bacterium. RNAcentral describes it as "partial 16S ribosomal RNA". It matches the Rfam family "Bacterial small subunit ribosomal RNA", at positions 524 to 776 of the family's 1533-position model. The record is from RNAcentral.